Molecule: transfer RNA, 77 nt
Filed under: Dehalococcoidia bacterium
Lineage: Bacteria; Bacillati; Chloroflexota; Dehalococcoidia
Description: tRNA-Arg
Rfam family: tRNA
About the family: Transfer RNA (tRNA) molecules are approximately 80 nucleotides in length. Their secondary structure includes four short double-helical elements and three loops (D, anti-codon, and T loops).
Source: RNAcentral
CUCCCUGUAGCUCAGGUGGAUAGAGCAACGGUUUCCUAAACCGUGUGUCGCAGGUUCGAGUCCUGCCAGGGAGACCA